This 433-nucleotide ribosomal RNA is filed under the name uncultured bacterium. RNAcentral's name for it is "partial 16S ribosomal RNA". It matches the Rfam family "Bacterial small subunit ribosomal RNA", at positions 29 to 507 of the family's 1533-position model. The record is from RNAcentral.
AACGAACGCUGGCGGCAUGCCUAACACAUGCAAGUCGAACGAGACCUUCGGGUCUAGUGGCGCACGGGUGCGUAACGCGUGGGAAUCUGCCCUUGGGUUCGGAAUAACAGUUGGAAACGACUGCUAAUACCGGAUGAUGACGUAAGUCCAAAGAUUUAUCGCCCAAGGAUGAGCCCGCGUAGGAUUAGCUAGUUGGUGAGGUAAAGGCUCACCAAGGCGACGAUCCUUAGCUGGUCUGAGAGGAUGAUCAGCCACACUGGGACUGAGACACGGCCCAGACUCCUACGGGAGGCAGCAGUGGGGAAUAUUGGACGAUGGGCGAAAGCCUGAUCCAGCCAUGCCGCGUGAGUGAUGAAGGCCUUAGGGUUGUAAAGCUCUUUUACCCGGGAUGAUAAUGACAGUACCGGGAGAAUAAGCACCGGCUAACUCCGUG